Molecule: ribosomal RNA, 615 nt
Filed under: uncultured Poribacteria bacterium
Lineage: Bacteria; Candidatus Poribacteria
Description: bacterial SSU rRNA
Rfam family: Bacterial small subunit ribosomal RNA
Source: RNAcentral
UGUACCUCUGUGUUACGGGAUGAAUUGAGCGUUGCUGAUAACGCAGCGUUUUUGACGUUACCGUAGUAGAAAGCCCCAGCUAACUACGUGCCAGCAGCUGCGGUAAUACGUAGGGGGCAAGCGUUGUCCGGAAUCACUGGGCGUAAAGCGCGCGCAGGCGGUGGAAUAAGUCAGACGUGAAAGGGUUCGGCUCAACCGAGCCAUUGCGUUUGAUACUGUUUCACUUGAGUCUAGAAGAGGAAAGUGGAAUGUAUGGUGUAGCGGUGGAAUGCUUAGAUAUCAUAUAGAACACCCGUGGCGAAGGCGGCUUUCUGGUCUAAGACUGACGCUCAUGCGCGAAAGUUUGGGGAGCAACCGGGAUUAGAUACCCCGCUAGUCCUUACUGUAAACGAUGGGUACUAAGUGUAGGGGGUGUUGAUUCCCUCUGUGCUGUAGCUAACGCAUUAAGUACCCCGCCUGGGGAGUACGGCCGCAAGGUUAAAACUCAAGGUAAUUGACGGGGGGCCGCACAAGCGGUGGAGCAUGUCGCUUAAUUCGACGCAACGCGAAGAACCUUAUCCAGGGCUUGACAUCGCAGUGACCGCUAUAGAAAUAUAGUUUUCCUUCGGGGACACU